This 513-nucleotide ribosomal RNA is filed under the name uncultured bacterium. RNAcentral's name for it is "partial 16S ribosomal RNA". It matches the Rfam family "Bacterial small subunit ribosomal RNA", at positions 28 to 523 of the family's 1533-position model. The record is from RNAcentral.
GACGAACGCUGGCGGCAUGCCUAAUACAUGCAAGUCGAGCGAACAGAUGAAGUGCUUGCACUUCUGACGUUAGCGGCGAACGGGUGAGUAACACGUAAGGAACCUACCUAUAAGCGGGGGAUAACAUUCGGAAACGGGUGCUAAUACCGCAUAAUAUCUUCUUCCGCAUGGACGAAGAUUGAAAGACGGCUCUGCUGUCACUUAUAGAUGACCUUGCGGUGCAUUAGUUAGUUGGUGGGGUAACGGCCUACCAAGACGAUGAUGCAUAGCCGACCUGAGAGGGUGAUCGGCCACAUUGGGACUGAGACACGGCCCAAACUCCUACGGGAGGCAGCAGUAGGGAAUCUUCCGCAAUGGGCGAAAGCCUGACGGAGCAAUACCGCGUGAGUGAAGAAGGCCUUCGGGUCGUAAAACUCUGUUAUAAGAGAAGAACAAAUUGUAGAGUAACUGCUACAGUCUUGACGGUAUCUUAUCAGAAAGCCACGGCUAACUACGUGCCAGCCGCCGCGGUAA